Molecule: ribosomal RNA, 253 nt
Filed under: uncultured bacterium
Lineage: Bacteria
Description: partial 16S ribosomal RNA
Rfam family: Bacterial small subunit ribosomal RNA
Source: RNAcentral
UACGGGGGGGGCAAGCGUUGUUCGGAAUUACUGGGCGUAAAGGGCGCGUAGGCGGCGCGGUAAGCGUGCGGUGAAAGCCCGGGGCUCAACCCCGGGUCGGCCGUGCGGACUGCCGGGCUGGAGCACUGUAGAGGCAGGUGGAAUUCCGGGUGUAGCGGUGGAAUGCGUAGAGAUCCGGAAGAACACCGGUGGCGAAGGCGGCCUGCUGGGCAGUAGCUGACGCUGAAGCGCGACAGCGUGGGGAGCAAACAGG